GACGAACGCUGGCGGCGUGCCUAAUACAUGCAAGUAGAACGCUGAAGGAGGAGCUUGCUUCUCUGGAUGAGUUGCGAACGGGUGAGUAACGCGUAGGUAACCUGCCUGGUAGCGGGGGAUAACUAUUGGAAACGAUAGCUAAUACCGCAUAACAGUAGAUAUCGCAUGAUAGCUGCUUGAGAGGUGCAAUUGCACCACCACCAGAUGGACCUGCGUUGUAUUAGCUAGUUGGUGGGGUAACGGCUCACCAAGGCAACGAUACAUAGCCGACCUGAGAGGGUGAUCGGCCACACUGGGACUGAGACACGGCCCAGACUCCUACGGGAGGCAGCAGUAGGGAAUCUUCGGCAAUGGACGGAAGUCUGACCGAGCAACGCCGCGUGAGUGAAGAAGGUUUUCGGAUCGUAAAGCUCUGUUGUAAGAGAAGAACGAGUGUGAGAGUGGAAAGUUCACACUGUGACG
Molecule: ribosomal RNA, 462 nt
Filed under: Streptococcus infantis
Lineage: Bacteria; Bacillati; Bacillota; Bacilli; Lactobacillales; Streptococcaceae
Description: bacterial SSU rRNA
Rfam family: Bacterial small subunit ribosomal RNA
Source: RNAcentral